Trifolium pratense (red clover) is the source of this 1510-nucleotide long non-coding RNA. RefSeq lists it as uncharacterized. The record is from RefSeq and is a predicted model, not a curated record. The transcript has 2 exons. NCBI's taxonomy places the organism in Eukaryota, Viridiplantae, Streptophyta, Magnoliopsida, Fabales, Fabaceae.
GCUUUGUUAAUCAAAUAUAUAGAAGUAUACAUCUUUUAGUUUUAUGUGAAACUGUAUUGGUGUGUGUGUGUUUCUAGAUUCUUUCUUUGAUAUAAACUGUGAUUCUUCUAUAGAAAAUCAAAAGAUAGUUAAGAUUAAGUGGUUACCAGGGAGCCGAAGAAUGUUGGAAUUGAAUAGUAUUAAGUAUAAUUGCUCUAUUUUAAGUUUGAACAGGUACAAUGUAAGAAACAAGAUGGUGGCAGGUCUUGUCUUCUCUACUUUUCUUCUGUUUUGUGGUUUGCAAGUGUUAUUUAUUUACUUCAUCUUACAUUUGGCUUCAGGUAUAUCUUUGCUACUCUCAAGGUAAAAUCCCCUUCUUUAGAUUCAUAAUCAACCGGUUCUGUUAUCAUUUGCAUUCUACCAUGGUUGCUGCAAUAGUAACCUCAUUCUAUUAUUACAGUCAUGAAGUGUAACAACCCGACUUUAAUUAAAAUAAGUAAUAUUAAUUAGAAAUGGUGAUUGAAGUUACUCGAAGAAUUAUUGCUCAAAGUAUGAGAUAGUUCAAAGGCAUAAACAUGUUUUAGUAAUAAGUUGGAGGGUAAAGUGGACAAGUAUCAUUACUAGUAAGACUAGUAUUACAGGUAUGUAUUGGGAGGAAGCAAACAUCAGUAUAGUGAAGACCCAUUCCCUUCUUUCUUCUCUGUCCGUUCAUUCCCUUUCUUAACUCCACCCCACACAAAAAUCCAAAUCUCAACCAAAGAGAAAUGCAUGUGUAGCUUCAGAUUCAUUUGCCCUUCUUCAUGAACUCACCUUUCCCUUGUUUUUCUCUCUCUCAGGCAACGUGAUUCUCUCCUCUCCACACCUUGAACCAGUUUCAUGUGCUCUCAUGGCCAAAGGGUUGCAUGUGUUGGAAACAAUCUUAAUCUGCUGGUUUUGAGUAUUAAAAGCUAAGGUAAAAUUAGUAAUUUCAAUUCCACUCUCUUUCCCUCUUUUUAUGAACCCUAAACUCACCCUUAAAGCCUUCACUCAUUUGGGGUCAAUUGCAUGUACACAUACUCUGUAAAUUGGGGUAAUUGAAAGUGCUAGGGAACUGAUAUUGAAAUGGAGAAAAGAAUUGAAGGUCGGAGCUUGGAAGGACUGUUGAUGGAACAAGAAAACAAGAGGAAUUGCUUAAGUUGUGUAAAAUCCGUAUUUGGGACAGGGCUCCACUCAAACGAGUUAUAUUGAGCUCUAGGCAUGAUUUCGAAGUGGAGGGUCUGAAGCUGAGUUUGUGCAGGAAUAUGGACUGUUCGUGAAGGCAUGCUUUCGAAUUUUGGCUUUAUCAAUGCUUAGCAAUGCAUUUAAUGCUCUGUAAUUCAUAUAUUGAUUAGUUUAAAUGUAAAUUAUAUUUGGAUUUGAAGAUAUCCAUUGUAUUCUAGUAACUUGUAAAGAGAUUUGAGUAGCAUAUUUUCUAACCAAUACUUUUGUAUGGUACCUCUUCGAAUGUCUUAUGUGGUGUUUAAUUAUAAUCAAUGAAAUUUGUUGGCUCUUU